RNAcentral lists this non-coding RNA (97 nucleotides) under uncultured Streptococcus sp. RNAcentral describes it as "preQ1-II (pre queuosine) riboswitch". It matches the Rfam family "PreQ1-II (pre queuosine) riboswitch aptamer". From Rfam's summary of the family: Q is a hyper modified nucleoside present in some anticodons in tRNAs (Try, Asn, Asp and His). Lineage: Bacteria; Bacillati; Bacillota; Bacilli; Lactobacillales; Streptococcaceae. The record is from RNAcentral.
GUGCUAUACUAGUAAGGUUGAAUGAAUCAACCCUUGGUGCUUAGCUUCUUUCACCAAGCAUAUUUUACGUGGACAACCCGCCAAAGGAGAAAAGAUG